GACGUGCUAAUCUGCGAUAAGCGUCGGUAAGGUGAUAUGAACCGUUAUAACCGGCGAUUUCCGAAUGGGGAAACCCAGUGUGAUUCGUCACACUAUCAUUAACUGAAUCCAUAGGUUAAUGAGGCGAACCGGGGGAACUGAAACAUCUAAGUACCCCGAGGAAAAGAAAUCAACCGAGAUUCCCCCAGUAGCGGCGAGCGAACGGGGAGCAGCCCAGAGCCUGAAUCAGUGUGUGUGUUAGUGGAAGCGUCUGGAAAGGCGUGCGAUACAGGGUGACAGCCCCGUACACAAAAAUGCACAUACUGUGAGCUCGAUGAGUAGGGCGGGACACGUGGUAUCCUGUCUGAAUAUGGGGGGACCAUCCUCCAAGGCUAAAUACUCCUGACUGACCGAUAGUGAACCAGUACCG
Molecule: ribosomal RNA, 409 nt
Filed under: Escherichia coli
Lineage: Bacteria; Pseudomonadati; Pseudomonadota; Gammaproteobacteria; Enterobacterales; Enterobacteriaceae
Also listed under: 1 other name
Description: partial 23S ribosomal RNA
Rfam family: Bacterial large subunit ribosomal RNA
Source: RNAcentral